Molecule: ribosomal RNA, 493 nt
Filed under: uncultured bacterium
Lineage: Bacteria
Description: bacterial SSU rRNA
Rfam family: Bacterial small subunit ribosomal RNA
Source: RNAcentral
GGCGGCGUGCCUAACACAUGCAAGUCGUACGAGAAAGUUGGCUUCGGCCGAUGAGUAAAGUGGCGCACGGGUGAGUAACGCGUGGAUAAUCUGCCUUUUAGUUGGGAAUAACGUACCGAAAGGUGCGCUAAUACCGAAUAAUACUGAAUGACAUCAGUUGUUUAGUCAAAGAAGGCCUCUGCUUGCAAGCUUUUGCUGAAAGAUGAGUCCGCGUACCAUUAGCUAGUUGGUGGGGUAAUGGCCUACCAAGGCGACGAUGGUUAGCUGGUCUGAGAGGAUGAUCAGCCACACUGGAACUGAGACACGGUCCAGACUCCUACGGGAGGCAGCAGUGAGGAAUAUUGCGCAAUGGGGGCAACCCUGACGCAGCAACGCCGCGUGAGUGAGGAAGGUUUUCGGACCGUAAAGCUCUGUCGAGCGGGAAGAAAUGCAUGGUGGCUAAUAUCUAUCAUGCUUGACGGUACCGCUAAAGGAAGCACCGGCUAACUCCGUG